RNAcentral lists this ribosomal RNA (498 nucleotides) under Cardium maxicostatum. Its description in RNAcentral is "partial 16S ribosomal RNA". It matches the Rfam family "Bacterial large subunit ribosomal RNA", at positions 1799 to 2611 of the family's 2925-position model. Lineage: Eukaryota; Metazoa; Mollusca; Bivalvia; Cardiida; Cardiidae. The record is from RNAcentral.
CCUGUUUAUCAAAAACAUCUCUCCCCGAAUGAUAUUAUGGGGAGUAGGCCCUGCCCGGUGGAGAUUUCUAAACGGAAAGGUUAACUUUUAAAGUAGCGUAAUAAUUUGUCCCUUAAUUAGGGUCUGUAUGAAAGGGUUGACGUGGAAAAACUGUCUUGAAAAAAUAAUCUAAAAUUUUCUUUUUAGUGAAAAGCCUGAAAUGUGCUUAAAAGACGAGAAGACCCCGUCGAGCUUGGAGAAGAAGAAAAAUUUUGGAUUUUUUUUUUUAGGUUGGUUGGGGUAACAGAGGAGAAAACAAACCUCCGGUUAAAUAGUCAUGGAUCCAUAUUUUAUGAUAAUAGGAAAAAGCUACCGCGGGGAUAACAGCGCAAGACGGUCUGAGAGUUCAUAUCUAAGACUGUAAGUGCGACCUCGAUGUUGGAUUAAGGUAGGCUUGGUGGUGCAGGAGCUACUAUAAGCGGGACUGUUCGUCCUUUAAAUCCUUACAUGAUCUGAGUC